CCUACGUGAGGCUGCAGUGAGGAAUAUUGGUCAAUGGGCGCGAGCCUGAACCAGCCAAGUAGCGUGAAGGAUGACUGCCCUACGGGUUGUAAACUUCUUUUAUAAAGGAAUAAAGUGAGGCACGUGUGCCUUUUUGUAUGUACUUUAUGAAUAAGGAUCGGCUAACUCCGUGCCAGCAGCCGCGGUAAGACGGAGGAUCCGAGCGUUAUCCGGAUUUAUUGGGUUUAAAGGGAGCGUAGAUGGGUUGUUAAGUCAGGUGUGAAAGUUUGCGGCUCAACCGUAAAAUUGCAAUUGAUACUGGCAGUCUUGAGUACAGUUGAGGUAGGCGGAAUUCGUGGUGUAGCGGUGAAAUGCUUAGAGAUCACGAAGAACUCCGAUUGCGAAGGCAGCUUACUAAACUGCCACUGACAUUGAUGCUCGAAAGUGUGGGUAUCAAACAGGAUUAGAUACCCCUGUAGUC
This 460-nucleotide ribosomal RNA is filed under the name uncultured bacterium. RNAcentral describes it as "partial 16S ribosomal RNA". It matches the Rfam family "Bacterial small subunit ribosomal RNA", at positions 338 to 795 of the family's 1533-position model. The record is from RNAcentral.